GACGAACGCUGGCGGCGUGCUUAACACAUGCAAGUCGAACGGAAAGGCCCUGCUUGCAGGGUACUCGAGUGGCGAACGGGUGAGUAACACGUGGGUGAUCUGCCCUGCACUUCGGGAUAAGCCUGGGAAACUGGGUCUAAUACCGGAUAGGAGCCAUUUUUAGUGUGAUGGUUGGAAAGUUUUUUCGGUGUAGGAUGAGCUCGCGGCCUAUCAGCUUGUUGGUGGGGUAAUGGCCUACCAAGGCGGCGACGGGUAGCCGGACUGAGAGGUUGAACGGCCACAUUGGGACUGAGACACGGCCCAGACUCCUACGGGAGGCAGCAGUGGGGAAUAUUGCACAAUGGGGGAAACCCUGAUGCAGCGACGCCGCGUGGAGGAAGAAGGUCUUCGGAUUGUAAACUCCUGUUGUUGAGGAAGAUAAUGACGGUACUCAACAAGGAAGUGACGGCUAACUACGUGCCAGCCGCCGCGGUAA
RNAcentral lists this ribosomal RNA (475 nucleotides) under uncultured Actinomycetales bacterium. RNAcentral's name for it is "bacterial SSU rRNA". It matches the Rfam family "Bacterial small subunit ribosomal RNA", at positions 28 to 523 of the family's 1533-position model. The record is from RNAcentral. Lineage: Bacteria; Bacillati; Actinomycetota; Actinomycetes; Actinomycetales.